AGGGAUCAGGGCAAGCCCGGAGACCACCACAUGCUGACCCACACUCUGGACAGCCCUGGGGAAAAAAAGGCGAUUCCCACCAACCCUGCACUCAGGGAACCCAUGUGAGUUACCUGGUGGAGACCGGUAUGGAAUGCACAAUAUGGUCUGAGGCUGGCCCAAAGUAGGCUCAGCCCUAGACCGCCCAUAUACAGAGUGAAGUCCCUCCAAUUGCUGUGUCAGAUCCUGGAAGCCUGCCUGGUCUGGAGGUCACUUUCAGCAGCGGAGAUGGUUUCCGAUUGCUAUCAUUGGGUACAUCCCACUUCUACUUAAAAAUAGCAACGAUUCUGAGUAGGUCAGAAAAAUCAAUGGAUCCACAGAAGCCUCGGACAAAGCACAAAAGCACCAAAGUUUCGGGAAAGAAGAUAGAAAGCCAUUCUCCCUAUCCAACUAAACCACAAGGCCAGGGCUCCGAAGAAAGAAACGUGAGGAGGGGCUUCACGCGUGAACGGAAUGCUUUAGAGCCUAGAAGGGAGAGGAUCAAAAUAUCUAUCGCACAGGCCUGGAACCGGAAAAUGGAGCCGAAAGAAAAGAAAGCGAGCUGGCAGCCGCCGUCCGUGAGGAGGAACAUGACCAUUGCUCUAUGUCAUGGUUCCAGAGCCCGUGGUCAUCAGAGUCACUUGGAGAGAGUUCUAAAGCAGAGGUUUCCAUGCAACACCCAGGAACCCAGAAAUUCCUUACAGAAAGAACUUACUAUUCAAAGCUCCCUGUCCUGUCAUGUCCAGCCAAAUUUGGGGACCCCUGGCCUUGGGUAUGCCAAUUCUGUCAAAAUGUGUAUAUUCUGUGGUGUUUGUCCCAGAGGCCUGUCAAGAUGCUCAAAAUAUGCCUCACAGAAGCCAGAGACUGGCUAAUCAGUGAUGGCACGUGUUGCCUGUCUCAGACCUUAAUCUGGAAAGAACUUAAGAGUAUCUGUCUAGGGCUGGAGAGAUGGCUCAGUGGUUAAGAGCACCGACUGCUCUUCCAGAGGUCCUGAGUUCAAAUCCCAGC
RNAcentral lists this small RNA (1026 nucleotides) under Rattus norvegicus (Norway rat). RNAcentral's name for it is "uncharacterized LOC103691375". Lineage: Eukaryota; Metazoa; Chordata; Mammalia; Rodentia; Muridae. The record is from RNAcentral.